GCGCGAAAACUUUACAAUGCGGGAAACCGUGAUAAGGGAACCUCGAGUGCCUGUAUAUGCAGGCUGUCCAGGUGUCUAAAAAACACCUGAAGAAAGGGCCGGGCAAGACCGGUGCCAGCCGCCGCGGUAAUACCGGCGGCUCGAGUGGUGGCCACUUUUAUUGGGCUUAAAGCGUUCGUAGCUGGGUUGUUAAGUCUCUUGGGAAAUCUGACGGCUCAACCGUCAGGCGUCCAAGGGAUACUGGCAAUCUUGGAACCGGGAGAGGUGAGGGGUACUUCGGGGGUAGGAGUGAAAUCCUGUAAUCCUCGAGGGACCACCUGUGGCGAAGGCGCCUCACCAGAA
Molecule: ribosomal RNA, 342 nt
Filed under: uncultured archaeon
Lineage: Archaea
Description: bacterial SSU rRNA
Rfam family: Archaeal small subunit ribosomal RNA
Source: RNAcentral